RNAcentral lists this small RNA (384 nucleotides) under Histoplasma capsulatum. Its description in RNAcentral is "hypothetical RNA". The record is from RNAcentral. Lineage: Eukaryota; Fungi; Ascomycota; Eurotiomycetes; Onygenales; Ajellomycetaceae. RNAcentral also lists the same sequence under 1 other name.
AGGGCGAAAUUGUGAGGUUUGUCUUUUUCGAUGAACCAGCCAACCAACCAACCAACCGUCUCUGUAAGUUUGUAUGAACCCUUUCUCUGGUUUGUAUGAUUUUUACCUCAAUGUAUAUAUAUCUAUACAAGGUGGUGAUGAUGAUGAUGAUGAUGAGGGGUGGAUAUGUUGAUCGUACGCUUGAUUUGUUCUGCCACUAUCCUAUUUGUCCUCCAAGGCCAUUCAUUCGGUCUAGGGGCUUAUGUUAGGGUAGAACCGUCACAGCGCCGCCCGAGUGUGGAGGGAAAGGUAGGUUUAUCUACGUUUCGGAUGUGCAUCAUUACUCUGUGUAUGGCCGCCCAUUAUUUCCCGCCAGUGGCCGGCUUAAAUUGGGGGCCAGGGGGG